GUAAGGAAUAUUGGUCAAUGGGGGCAACCCUGAACCAGCCAUGCCGCGUGAAGGAUGAAGGCGUUAUGCGUUGUAAACUUCUUUUGUAUGGGAAGAAUGACAGGGAUUUAUCCUUGGAGAGACGGUACCAUACGAAUAAGCACCGGCUAACUUCGUGCCAGCAGCCGCGGUAAUACGAAGGGUGCAAGCGUUAAUCGGAAUUACUGGGCGUAAAGCGCGCGUAGGUGGUUUUGUAAGUUGGAGGUGAAAUCCCCGGGCUCAACCUGGGAACUGCCUCAAAAACUGCAUGACUAGAGUACGGUAGAGGGUAGUGGAAUUUCCUGUGUAGCGGUGAAAUGCGUAGAUAUAGGAAGGAACACCAGUGGCGAAGGCGACUACCUGGACUGAUACUGACACUGAGGUGCGAAAGCGUGGGGAGCAAACAGGAUUAGCAACCCGGGUAGUCC
RNAcentral lists this ribosomal RNA (446 nucleotides) under uncultured bacterium. RNAcentral describes it as "partial 16S ribosomal RNA". It matches the Rfam family "Bacterial small subunit ribosomal RNA", at positions 354 to 796 of the family's 1533-position model. The record is from RNAcentral.